AACGAACGCUGGCGGCAUGCCUAACACAUGCAAGUCGAACGAGAGCCUCCGGGCUAGUGGCGCACGCGUGCGUAACACGUUUGUAUCUGUCCUUAUUUUCGCCAUAUCUCAUCUCCAUACGUGUUCAUACAGCAUAAUGUCUUCGGACCAAAGAUUUAUCUCCCUUGGGUGUGCCCCCGUUGGAUUUUUUAUUUGGUAGGGUAAAAGCCUCUAACGGGGUCUAUCCAUAGCUGGGCUGAGAGAAUGUUCAGCCACACUGGGAGUCAGACACGGACCAGACUCCUACGGGAGGAAGAAGUGGGGAAUAUUGGACAAGGGGGGCAAGACUGAUCCAGCAAUGCCGAGUGAGUGAUGAAGGCCUUAGGGUUGUAAAGCUCUUUAAACCGGGAGGAUAAUGACAGUACCGGGAGAAUAAGCGCCGGCUAACUCCGUG
RNAcentral lists this ribosomal RNA (433 nucleotides) under uncultured bacterium. RNAcentral's name for it is "partial 16S ribosomal RNA". It matches the Rfam family "Bacterial small subunit ribosomal RNA", at positions 29 to 507 of the family's 1533-position model. The record is from RNAcentral.